AGAUGAACCGGAUUAUGCAGUCGAACACACAGAUUCGCAAGGGCGAUUGCAGUAUGUAUCCAACAUUCUUCUCGAGAUCCUGGCCGAUGUGAUCCAUACACCAAAGGAUGUCAUAACCUUUGGUUACCAGCUUGGCCUCUCUUAUUCCUCUAUGAAGAAACACAACGACCAAACAGACGUGUACCUCGAUAGUGUCUCAAGGUCAGGCUUUGGUAAGAUGCUACGUGACUGGAGACGACAGGUUCGACCUAGUGAGCAGGUAGAUGAACUUCAUUUGGCAUUGCAAGAUGCUGGGUUAGGCCAUGCAGCUGAGGUCAUCUUACAUGAACUGAGUAGCAGGAGGCGCUUUGCAAAAGUCAAACAAGUAUGGGAGUCAAAGAAGUAGGCAGACCUGUCAUUUAAAUGUCCCACGACCAAGAAGGGAUUCAAUUGGUUUGUGCAUUCAGCCUACGUCUAAACCUGUACUCCAAGUUUGCAUGAUUUUCAGUCUGAAUCUCGAAGUUGCUAUUUCUUCCCUUCCAUAUGCUGGGAGUCAUGUAGUUAAGCUACAUUUGAUGAUGAUUUCUUGUUAAAUCUAUUUCAUUUUUAAGAAGGCGGUUGAGGUAUGAAGUAUUACGAUCGGUAAACAUGUAUAUGAUUUUUUCAUGUGUGUGUGUGGGAGGGGGUAUAUAAAUAUCUUCCUGUUUAGAAUACGUCCUUCGUAGGCCUUGUUCCUUUUUCCUUCCAUCUUUCCCUCAAUGAUAUUCAACAAAAUUCAUCAUGCCAAAUUCAUUUUGUCUGUUUCUCGUGUUAUUGCACACUUCCGCUCCUUCCACGCUUUUUGUAGAACAUUAUCAUUUAUCGCUUGAUCUAUCCACCCAACCUAUCUUUGCCAUCUUCCUCCACAUUGAAAUGUCAAAACUCUCAACGGUUUAAUGUCUUCCUUUUUCAGAGUCCAUGCCUCUGAUCCAUUAGGCAUCACACUCCCAAAUUAUUUACAUGUGACAAUAAUACCAUUACAUAUUUUCGUUAUCGUAAGGUUGUGUGAAUACCGUUUCUGGUCUGUUGGUGCAAUAAUUGAAUUGACUUCAGUUUUAUUUAAUUUAUUAACCAUUAAUAUACAUGUAAAAGCAAAACAUACAAUAGAAAAUAGAAUACAUACAAAAUACAAAGCAAGCAUAAUGAUCAGGACCACAAAGAAGUAAAUUGGGCCCCCACAAAAACAAAUUCAAUUAAAUAUAAUUCAGUCACCAUACCCACACUUGUACACACAUAUACACACAUAGCUACAUGGAAACUGUCGUUAGAGAGUUUCAAAUAGGAAUUUUCGACAAAGCUUUUUAAAACAGGAUAAACUUGAUCCUUAUAGAAUUGGGUAAUUUAUUCCAUUUUCUCACGCCUGCAAUAUUUAAUGAAUUGAGGGAAGAAGUAAGACUUACUUCGGGUUGAUGAUGAAAAUGUUCUUUUUGACCUGUAGCAUAUGAAUGGAUAUUUUAAUUGGGAUAAACAUAUUACUGUAUUUCACAUGAAAAAUGUUAUGCCUUACAGAGUACAUACAAAUUAGAGUAUCGAAUGUAAUCAAAUCGUAUAAAGGCAAGAUUUGCAUCUGUUUAAAGAGUGGUAUACUU
Molecule: long non-coding RNA, 1607 nt
Organism: Strongylocentrotus purpuratus (purple sea urchin)
Lineage: Eukaryota; Metazoa; Echinodermata; Echinoidea; Camarodonta; Strongylocentrotidae
Exons: 3
Source: RefSeq, a predicted model, not a curated record